CCGGACUCACGGGCAGGCUCAGCCUCUCAAAGCUGAAUUAGUCAAAGGUAGAGAGGGGGCAUGUGGAAUAGUUCCAGGGCCGGUGGGGAACCAGCACGUGCCCACUCCAGCAGAUCCAGGCCAGGGAUCUGGAUGGUGUUGGUUCAGACUGUCAUUCUUCAGGUCCCUGAGACUCUAGCUGCCUGCCCUGCAGGAGACAGUGGGCCUCCCUCAGUGGGGAUAUACACUGAAGGGGUAACCGAAGACCUGCCUACUUUCAAGUAUCUUCUCCCCUGGUCUACCAAUGGUUCCUGAAAUUCCCACCACAAAGACACUUUUAAGGUUUAUAGCCUUCAUCUCCAAAAAGCCUUAGUAAUUAUCUCAAUUUUGAAUAUGAGGAAAUGAAGGCUCUGUGUUCAAGUGACUUGCUCAAGCUCAAGAUCAACCACUGGAAAAUCAACAAAAUAUCUGGACUGCUAUGCUCUAAAGAUUUCCUGAGGCCUCACCUACUUUUCACAAGACCUCAACAACAACCUCAAGGACCUUAAAUUUCUGCCUGAUUCUUCAUGUGGAUGACCUUGGGUUGUGCUCUAAAGAGACGUACUCUAAGACCGAUUCCAGUGAUCUACUGUAUUCUUUCAGUGUUUUCAAAGAGAAGUUAUAAUGUGGUCAAAGUAAAGUUCAUUGUCCAGGACAUGAUUUAUCCCAAGGAGAUUAUGAAGUGGGCUGGUGAGGCUACCCUGCUUGGGGUACAUCAGGGCUCAGUGACCUUAAGGAGACCUCAUCAUUAAAGUACCAGAUCUAAAGACCUGAGAGGGGCGCCUGGCUGGCUCAGUUGGUGGAGCAUGCGG
Molecule: long non-coding RNA, 830 nt
Organism: Callorhinus ursinus (northern fur seal)
Lineage: Eukaryota; Metazoa; Chordata; Mammalia; Carnivora; Otariidae
Source: RefSeq, a predicted model, not a curated record